AAAAAAAUGCAAAAUGGACAAUUUAAUAAUCACGCCGAAAGCGGAGCGCGUCCUCCAGAUCCCAUAUCAGAUAGGCAGAGUUGGAGAGUGCUUCGGUGCGCGAGGCGCGCGCGGCGCGACGCGGGCGCACCUCAUCUCGACGAUACCUUUCGGCGCACUUGUGUCGCACCGCGCCGCGUCGCGCCGCCGACCGCCGACCGUCGACCGUCCCCGUCACCCGUCACCACCGGUGAAACGCUGGUAAACCCUCGCGCGACGCGAGCGCGACGCAAAGCGGUAAGCACGGCGCACGGCCAGGAGUGUCAGCCAGCAUCUCCGAGAACGCGCAGUCGCGCGCCAAUCCUGUCGGGUGGGAGGUGUGAUCAGCUGCGUGCACACGAGGAAAACGAGAUGUUCGUCCUGCAGAGAUCUAUAUUAUCGGCUAGUAGCAGAAAUUGUGGAGGAUCAUGGACACGAGCGUUGCCACCUUUGCAUAUUGCCGUAAAGGAUAUUCAACAAAGAGACAUCCACGAGGUUUCGGGAGAUGUAAUACCAAUAAAUAUGGUCAAGGGUAUCGGACAUCUCAGAGAUCCUCGAUUGAAUAAGGGUUUGGCGUUUACCCUGAAGGAAAGACUAGCCCUCGGGAUACAUGGAUUACAGCCGCCUAGAUUUAAAACGCAGGAGGAACAGCUGGCUCUGUGCAAAGCCUCAGUAAUGAAAUACUCGGAGGAUCUGAAUCGAUAUUUGUAUCUCGUGGAGCUUCAGGAGAGGAACGAAAGAUUAUUUUUUCGCUUGUUAAGCGAAAACAUCGAGCAGAUGAUGCCGAUUGUCUAUACACCUACCGUUGGUUUGGCUUGCCAAAAGUUCGGUGUGAUAUAUCGUAGACCUCGCGGACUUUUCAUUACUAUAUAUGAUAAAGGCCAUAUUUACGAGAUCUUGAAUAAUUGGCCGGAGCAAGCAGUGCGGGCCAUCUGUGUUACGGAUGGCGAGCGAAUUUUAGGUCUUGGCGACCUUGGGGCUUGUGGUAUGGGUAUUCCCGUUGGAAAACUAGCACUUUAUACAGCUUUGGCCGGCAUCAAACCACAUCAAUGUCUUCCAAUCACUAUCGAUGUUGGCACUAAUAACGAACAGCUAAGAAACGAUCCUCAUUAUAUCGGUCUUAACAAGCCUAGAAGUCAAGGUGCCGAAUAUGAUGAAUUGAUCGACGAAUUUAUGGCUGCCUGCGUGCAAAAGUACGGACAAAACGUUCUUAUUCAAUUUGAAGACUUCGGAAACCAUAAUGCCUUCCGUUUCUUAGACAAAUAUAGAAACAAAUACUGCACGUUCAAUGAUGAUAUACAAGGUACUGCUGCGGUUGCAGUGGCUGGAAUCUUAGCGUCACAAAGGAUAACUAAAAAAAGAAUGGCGGAUAAUAAGUUCGUCUUCCUGGGCGCUGGAGAGGCAGCUAUUGGAAUAGCUGAUCUUUGUGUCAAAGCGAUAGAAGCUGACGGUUGUACGCAGCAGCAGGCGCGCGACAGUAUUUGGAUGAUGGAUAUCGACGGGUUACUCGUGAAGAAUCGGCCCGAAGGUAAUUUGGAGGGCCACAAAAUCUGGUACGCGAAAGACCACAAAGUGAUGAAGACGUUAAUCGAAGUUGUGAAAGAGAUCAAACCUACCGUCCUGAUAGGCGCUUCGGCGGCGGCGGGGGCGUUUACUCCCGAAGUCUUGAAAGAGAUGGCGAAAAACAACGAGAGACCGCUAAUCUUCGCUCUAAGUAAUCCAACUAGCAAGGCUGAAUGUACAGCGCAGCAGGCGUACGAUCACACCGAUGGUAGAUGUGUAUUCUCUUCAGGCUCGCCAUUCGGCGAAGUAACAUACAAUGGAAAGACGUACAAGCCUGGUCAGGGUAAUAACGCAUACAUCUUCCCUGGUAUUGCUUUAGGUGUUAUCGCAACCGGCGUGCAUCACAUCACCGAAGAUUUGUUCUUGAUUUCGGCACAGACUGUCGCCGAUCACGUAAAAAAUGAGGAUCUCGAAAGGGGUAGCGUCUAUCCGCCAUUAAAUAAUAUACGCGAGUGUUCUAUCGACAUCGCGAUUAAAAUAGCCGAUUAUGCCUAUGCCAAAGGCGGUUUGGCAAGCGAAUAUCCAGAGCCGAAAGACAAGCGGCAAUUCAUCAUAAGCAAGAUGUACGACGCCAACUACGAUAGUCCACUGCCAAAUCUGUACGAGUGGCCGGGUGAUUAUGCCAAACCGCGUAUUUUGCCGGAAAAAGACACAGUAGAAAUCCGUCACAAUUUAAAACAUCUGUAACGGAUUUCAUCAGCCGGAAUAUAGUUGGAGGCUAUCAUUAUUAUCUUUAACGUUAAAAAUAUAGAUGUCUCUUCCAAUUCAUAGUCACUCACGGCAUAUGCACGCAGCAAAACAACUUGUAAACAGUUUUAACCAUUAUAACGCGUUGGCAAGUCUAAACUUUAAACAUGAGACGACCACUUCUCAAUUUAAAUUCUUGCAGUUAGAAAAUAAAAACUGUUAUCGUGGAUGAUUACACAAUAUUGUAUUCUUUAGUAUUAAGAAAUCACAAUCUAUCGAUGUUUCUUGCGUUUAAAUGUACUCGAUAAAUACGUACUUAUUUAAUAUAGUAUGAUAUAGUGAUGUUUUACACCUCAAAAUCAUAUUUGAAUAGUAUACAGCUAUUCACUACUCACUAACUUCGAUAGGACAUGGAUUGUCUAAUAUUCCAGUACAUUACAAAUUAUUUUUUUUUAAGAUAUUUAUAAAAAAAAAACAAAGUUAUUUCUGAUAAUAUUCUGUAUUACGUGACAUGCAUAGUAUGUGAUACUUUAUUUCGUAAUUUAUUUCAUAUUUAAAAGUUGUUAGUUAAGUUGAAUAGUUGUACUAUUUUUUGUUAUAAUUAUUUAACCUAUGUGAUCCUUUAUCAGAAAUAAAUUAUUAUUGCCUUCAUGAAUAA
This is an RNA transcript of Solenopsis invicta (red fire ant), 2926 nucleotides long. It is a transcript of the gene named NADP-dependent malic enzyme, with no coding region annotated. The record is from RefSeq and is a predicted model, not a curated record. Lineage: Eukaryota; Metazoa; Arthropoda; Insecta; Hymenoptera; Formicidae. The transcript has 12 exons.